AAGGCCUUAAGUUAAUGCAAACUAAUAACCUUCAAAGCUAUAAAUAAGGGAAUCACCAAACCUUUAGGCCUUG
This 73-nucleotide transfer RNA is filed under the name Termitogeton planus. Its description in RNAcentral is "tRNA-Trp". Lineage: Eukaryota; Metazoa; Arthropoda; Insecta; Blattodea; Rhinotermitidae. The record is from RNAcentral.